CCUACGGGUGGCAGCAGUGAGGAAUAUUGGUCAAUGGGCGCGAGCCUGAACCAGCCAAGUCGCGUGAGGGAGUACUGCCCUAUGGGUUGUAAACCUCUUUUGACGGGGCGCAAAAGCCGGACGUGUCCGGCUGUGAGAGUACCCGAAGAAAAAGCAUCGGCUAACUCGGUGCAAGCAGCCGCGGUAAUACGGAGGAGGCGAGCGUUAUCCGGAUUUAUGGGGUUAAAGGGGUGCGCAGGCGGAUUUUUAAGUAAGCGGUAAAUUCGUGGGGCUCACCCCCAUCCAGCCGUUGAAACUGGGGAUCUAGAGUGUGCGAGAGGUAUGCGGAAUGCGUGGUGUAGCGGUGAAAUGCAUAGAUAUUACGCAGAACCCCGAUUGCGAAGGCAGCAUACCGGUGCACAACUGACGCUCAGGCACGAAAGCGUGGGUAUCGAACAGGAUUAGAUACCCUUGUAGUC
Molecule: ribosomal RNA, 458 nt
Filed under: uncultured bacterium
Lineage: Bacteria
Description: partial 16S ribosomal RNA
Rfam family: Bacterial small subunit ribosomal RNA
Source: RNAcentral